Molecule: long non-coding RNA, 236 nt
Filed under: Nicotiana benthamiana
Lineage: Eukaryota; Viridiplantae; Streptophyta; Magnoliopsida; Solanales; Solanaceae
Description: long non-coding RNA (NBEN_LNC034911)
Source: RNAcentral
UUUUUACGUAAUUGGAAAUAACCAAUUAGGUUUACGACGAAACCUAGAAAUCGAUCACCGAUACAAUUUGAGUACCUCUGCAGCCUAUUCAACAUUAUUCUUAUACCUCCUCCAAACCACCCCUAAAAGAGACAGAAACAGUUGAGCUUCAGCUUGUGUAUGUUCUUCCUUUUGCUUUCAAAACAUAUGAGAUUUCUUUCUUUCAAAAUGACUCACCAUAUAUGCUUUGCAGGUGU